Transfer RNA from Marinobacter sp. AC-23, 74 nucleotides. It matches the Rfam family "tRNA". From Rfam's summary of the family: Transfer RNA (tRNA) molecules are approximately 80 nucleotides in length. NCBI's taxonomy places the organism in Bacteria, Pseudomonadati, Pseudomonadota, Gammaproteobacteria, Pseudomonadales, Marinobacteraceae. The record is from Rfam.
CGGGGCGUAGCGCAGCUUGGUAGCGCACUUGCAUGGGGUGCAAGGGGUCGAAGGUUCAAAUCCUUCCGUCCCGA